This 753-nucleotide ribosomal RNA is filed under the name Triticum aestivum (bread wheat). Its description in RNAcentral is "partial small subunit ribosomal RNA". Lineage: Eukaryota; Viridiplantae; Streptophyta; Magnoliopsida; Poales; Poaceae. The record is from RNAcentral.
CUCUCCAUCGCCGUCGAGCACGGCCCGCCGGCGUCGCGCCUGGUUCAGCUCGGCGUCAGGUCCUGGCCCAAGUGGGGCUGCCCGACGGGGAAGUUCCCGGUGAAGUUCGACGCGAGGCAGACGUGCUACCUGGUGAAGGGCAAGGUGAGGGCGCACAUCAAGGGGUCGUCCGAGUGCGUGGAGUUCGGCGCCGGCGACCUCGUCGUCUUCCCCAAGGGGCUCAGCUGCACCUGGGACGUGGUCGCCGCCGUCGACAAGUACUACAAGUUCGAUUCGUCUUGACUUUGCCGGGUUCGCGGUGACUAAUUCGCCUCCUGAUUUAGAUUGGUGUCUGUGUUAGCCUCAUUCUCUAGCUAAUUUGCUAGACCAUAUCCGUCUCUAUUGGCUUCGUUGUGUGUAGUAGGGAAAAAAAAUCGGCGUGAGUGAGGUGAGGGGCAUCUAGCCCUCCUGUGUAGGUUCCUAGGGAAAAAAAUCGGCGUGAAUGAGUGAGGUAAGUUGCCCCCCAAAACCGGCCAAUGCAGUGGCCGUUCAAAGUAUUCUUAUUUAUUGCCCUGAGUGCAGUGCAAAUCCGUUUUGAAUGCCUUCUUUGACCAGCCACCAUCAGUGGACUGCAUUGUCUAUGGGCACCUUCCUUUUCUUCUUUAUGAGCAGCGUUACAGGGCCAGGGGUGUGUGUGGCUAUCGACCACACACAGCACUUACUAAGCUUUAAGAGUGUGAUAAAGCAUGGCUGAGAGAUGAGAAUUGGCUUGUG